Molecule: long non-coding RNA, 325 nt
Filed under: Ananas comosus (pineapple)
Lineage: Eukaryota; Viridiplantae; Streptophyta; Magnoliopsida; Poales; Bromeliaceae
Description: long non-coding RNA (ACOM_LNC008859)
Source: RNAcentral
UAUUUUUAGAAAAAAAAAAAUUAUACAAAAUUUUUCUAGACUAUUUAUCACUUUGAAACAGUUAUUCGAUCUUUUAAAAUUUUAAAUUUACUAUCUAAUUUUUUUAAUUUAUUUAAUUUGAAUCAGUCAGUCAUGUUUUGACUUUAAGAUUUAAUUAAUUUCUUUUUAAUGAACGUAUAGCUGCGAUACUUGCAUAAAAAAUGCUAACUAAAUAAAUCUGAAAAGAUAAAGAGUACAGUCAAAUUUUAAAGUCAAAAUAUCGUUGAAAAAAAAUCGAAAUUUUAAAAGAUUGAAUAGUCGUUUCAAAAUGCAUGUUCCAUAUUUU